GAAAGAUUAAAUUAAAAAUUAAGAAAAAUCGCAGAUCAGAGAGGAAAAAAGGAAGAAGAAGAAGAAGAAGGAGAAGAAACCCUAAUCGGCGAGGAGAGGGAGAGAGAGAGAGCACGAAAGCCAGAGGAAAAUGGGGAAGAAGAAGAAGAGAGUAUCGUCCAAGGUAUGGUGCUACUAUUGCGACAGAGAAUUCGACGACGAGAAGAUCCUGGUGCAGCACCAAAAGGCUAAGCACUUCAAGUGCCACGUCUGUCACAAGAAGCUCUCCACCGCCGGUGGUAUGGCCAUCCACGUUCUCCAGGUUCACAAGGAGUCCGUCACCAAGGUUCCCAAUGCUAAACCUGGCAGAGAAUCGACUGACAUUGAAAUUUAUGGAAUGCAAGGAAUACCACCUGAUGUACUGGCUGCCCACUACGGGGAAGACGAAGAAGAGGCCCCUUCAAAAGCAGCGAAAGUGGAUAUUCCAUCUACUCAGCUUGUGGGAGGAUUGGUGCCAGGGCCACUUGGUGUUGGAUAUCCUCCUCAAUCAACUUUAGGAGCAGUGCCGCCAGUUUACAGUGCUGCAGUGCCUGUACCUCCUACUGGUUGGGCAGUUCCUCCUCGUCCACAGCCUUGGUUCCCACAGCAUCCGGCAGUUUCAGUUCCUCCGUCGGCUCCUAUGGGAUAUGUGCAGCAGCCAUUAUUUCCAGUGCAAGGUGUGAGGCCUACUUUGCCAGUGGUUUCAACAUCACCUGCAGUCCAACCUUCACAAAUUGCUCCACCUGGAUUGUCAACAUCAACACCUCUACUUCCUGUAUCCCAACCCUUGUUCCCUGUUGUCAAUGACAAUGUACCUACACAGAGCUCACCAUUUUCUGCUUCUUUGCCAACAAGUGUUCAACCAAGCACUACUGCAGAAGUUAAAGGCUCAAUUGAAGUACAUUCGAGUGUUAAUACUUCUGUGCCAGGUGGAGCUGGAGCCAAUUCUCAUUCUUAUGCCUCUGGUCCAAAUACUGGUGGUCCAUCAAUUGGACCACCCCCUGUCAUUGCUAAUAAAGCUCCUGCUACACAGCCAGCUGUAAACGAGGUUUAUUUAGUUUGGGAUGAUGAGGCCAUGUCCAUGGAAGAGAGAAGAAUGUCCUUAGCCAAGUAUCAGGUGCAUGAUGAAACUAGCCAGGUAAGUCAUAACUACCUCUCUAGUAUGUGAGUUGGUUUGCGCAUCUAACCAGAUGGGUAGGCUUAUGCUUCAUGUUUUCAGAUUCAGUUGUUUACGCAUUGUUACCCAUUUGAUGAGGUAUUUUCAUAUGAAUUUUGUUUUAUUUAUUCCAUAUGAAAAAAGAACACAAUUUGUGAAGAAGUCAUGAGCCCUUUAAGCAAGUAUUCCCAUUGAUUGAUGGGCAUGCGCUUUUAUUUUAAAAUAUUAUUUCCCACUUUGCAAGCAAUUGCCUCCAAGUGUUUGGGCGUCAAAGAUUCAAGUAGGUAUUUACAUUAUUUUUGUUGGUAGUUGGUAAUUACAAUUUUGACAAGCUUGCUGCAGUACAUUCAAGGAUUUCUCCAAUCUAGCAUUGUACUUAGUUAAGAAUGUAUGUGAUCCUUUAAAAUUUGGAUAUAUUCAUUGUUGUUCAUUCUCCCUAUGCUUGAUUUGGAAGUGUGGGGUUUGGGUGGAACAAGAUGAUACCCAACAGAUUUUUGCUCAAUCGUAGCUUCAUUACAAUUUAUUUUAUUGAUCGUGAAUUCAGGCUUUUCCAGAUGAGCUCUAUUGAUGCAGCCAUAGACAGAAGGAUACUGGAAAGCAGGCUUGCUGGUCGAAUGGCAUUUUAGUUCCAACCAAGAGGGGAGGAAUGCAUCUUCAGAAAAUUUCAUGGAUGGAUUGGAAUGAGGGCCUGGGGUUGCUGCCCCCAAUUUCUCAUCAUUUUUCGGGGUCUGAAAACCUAAUGGGAUGUGUGAUUGUGUUGUAUUCUUUGCAAAAGCGAGGCAGAGGGGAGAAGAUAGUAAUUUUUUUUUAAAAAAAAAAAAAAUUCUGAGUUAAAACUCUAAAACUGUUAGGACUUAGCAUAAGGAUUUUAUUCCAAAGUUCCAUGCUAUGAGGAUAUUUAUAUGAGUUUAUAAUUAUAACCAUAUAAUUUUUUUUUUGUCAA
Molecule: non-coding RNA, 2117 nt
Organism: Theobroma umbraticum
Lineage: Eukaryota; Viridiplantae; Streptophyta; Magnoliopsida; Malvales; Malvaceae
Source: RefSeq, a predicted model, not a curated record